AUGAGGCUUUCCAUUCAGUUCCUGGGGCUCCUAUUGUUCUGUCUUCAUGGUGCUCAGUGUGACAUCCAGAUGACACAAUCUCCAUCUUUACUAUCUGCAUCUCUGGGAGAAAGAGUCACCAUCACUUGCCGGGCAAGUCAAGACAUUGACAAGUAUAUAGCUUGGUAUCAACAAAAGCCUGGGAAAGCUCCUAGGCUGCUCAUACGUCACACAUCUCAACUAGAGUCAGGCAUCCCAUCGAGGUUCAGUGGCAGUGGCUCUGGGAGAGAUUAUUCCUUCAGCAUCAGCAAUGUGGAGUCUGAAGAUAUUUCAACUUAUUAUUGUCUACAGCAUUACAAUCUUCCCACAGUGAUACAAGUCAUAACAUAA
Non-coding RNA from Arvicanthis niloticus (Nile rat), 369 nucleotides. Lineage: Eukaryota; Metazoa; Chordata; Mammalia; Rodentia; Muridae. The record is from the annotation of a RefSeq genome assembly.